This 290-nucleotide unclassified non-coding RNA is filed under the name uncultured fungus. RNAcentral describes it as "partial contains 5.8S ribosomal RNA, internal transcribed spacer 2, and large subunit ribosomal RNA". Lineage: Eukaryota; Fungi. The record is from RNAcentral.
AACGCACCUUGCACCCCUUGGCAUUCCGAGGGGUACGCCUGUUUGAGUGUCGUGAACUCCUCCACCUCCCGCUUUUUUCGAAAGGUGUGGUUAGGCUGGGAUUUGGGAGCUUGCGGGUCCCUGGUCGAUCCGCUCUCCUUGAAUGCAUUAGCGAAGCCCUGGCGGCCUUGGUGUGAUAGUCAUCUACGCCUUGGCUCAGUCCGUUAUGGGGCAUUGCUCACAACCGUCCCGCAAGGGACAACGUUUACCAACUUGACCUCAAAUCAGGCGGGACUACCCGCUGAACUUAA